Molecule: long non-coding RNA, 643 nt
Organism: Saccostrea cuccullata (small rock oyster)
Lineage: Eukaryota; Metazoa; Mollusca; Bivalvia; Ostreida; Ostreidae
Exons: 3
Source: RefSeq, a predicted model, not a curated record
UGCAUUAACCAGAUAAUCUUUAAAGAAAAUAGGGAAGAAAUAAGAGACAUAGGUAUUGUUUACCCCUUUUACGAGAAUAUGAGGACAAACUUUGGGAAAAUAAUGAAAAAUUGAGACGGUCUGCACCAGCUCCGUAGAUCCAUCACUGUAAUUUCAGGCCAGCUGUCAAGAGUUUUCAGGCUUAAAGAAUGAAUAAAUAAAAAAUGCAUCAAUUUCUCCAUAGGGCCUAGCCAUUCCCCCAAAAAUUGGACCAAUGGAUUCAUUCAUAUACAUACAUAUUUUGUGUGGAGGGUAUUAAUGUCCAUUAGGAUCAUAUUUCCAUUGUGUUCAUGAGAGUUUCGUAUUUUUAGUGGUUAAACUUGCAUGUUAAAGUCCUUCAGAACAGCACAACACUUAGUAAAUUUCCAGAUAACAUUUACUUAGAGCCUUAACUCCAUAAUUCUGGCAAGUUGUUUGUUAAAUUUUACUUGUGAGCGUAAUUGUAAAUAAUAUUUACUACUAGUAAAUUUUCAUGAUUGAGAAUGUCACGAAUCAUUAAGCUUCCGAUGGAAACUUUCAACCUCCUGUUUUUUUUUAAAUUGGUUGUAAAAAGUGUUCAUAGUACACAAUUUUAACAUAUAUGGAAAUGAUGUGUGACCAACAA